AGACGAGAUCUCGUGCUGCGUAAUCCGCGUUGACGGCAUUGAGUUUGACAUUUCAAAUUAGGGGGUGAAACGUAAACAAACGCAGUGAGAAAAACUAUAAUUUUUGUUCAAAGUUAUCUUGAGAUUCUAUAGCUUUCUGCAAAAAUGUGCAAUCGAGUACAGCGAUAACGUCAGUAUAAUAUGGUCGGAAAUAGUGUGGCAUAUUGCGAUUAACUUCUUCUUGUGUUGGCCAUGGUACUAAUGGAGUGCACAUCAUCUUCAACAAUGGAACUGUCCGGUAAAACACCUGAGAAAUAGUCUGGUAAUGAACGGUAGAGUGCGAUCGCUUCUUAUACGCGGCCAACGAACAUAAGCCCUCAACGAUGGUAUCCAACAUUUUGAGGGAAGCUAACCCUGUCCAGGAGUUCAACUCCGAAUCGGUUUUAAAGUGGACAGACAUAGUUCUACGACGACCGAUAAAAAGUUUAUCCAAAUCAAGCGUGUCCACCUGAACAGCUGCUUCCACAAAGUCCGGUGAUGUAAU
Toxorhynchites rutilus septentrionalis is the source of this 523-nucleotide long non-coding RNA. RefSeq lists it as uncharacterized. The record is from RefSeq and is a predicted model, not a curated record. The transcript has 3 exons. Lineage: Eukaryota; Metazoa; Arthropoda; Insecta; Diptera; Culicidae.